UACAGAGGUCCCGAGCGUUGUUCGGAUUCACUGGGCGUAAAGGGUGCGUAGGUGGCAUGUUAAGUUUGAUGUGAAAGCUCAGGGCUUAACCCUGAAAUGGCAUUGAAUACUAGCGUGCUGGAGGUUUGGAGGGGGGACUGGAAUUCUCGGUGUAGCAGUGAAAUGCGUAGAUAUCGAGAGAAACACCAGUGGCGAAGGCGAGUCCCUGGACAACACCUGACACUGAGGCACGAAAGCCGGGGGAGCAAACAGG
Molecule: ribosomal RNA, 253 nt
Filed under: uncultured bacterium
Lineage: Bacteria
Description: partial 16S ribosomal RNA
Rfam family: Bacterial small subunit ribosomal RNA
Source: RNAcentral